This 439-nucleotide ribosomal RNA is filed under the name uncultured bacterium. Its description in RNAcentral is "partial 16S ribosomal RNA". It matches the Rfam family "Bacterial small subunit ribosomal RNA", at positions 338 to 795 of the family's 1533-position model. The record is from RNAcentral.
CCUACGGGAGGCAGCAGUAGGGGAUCUUGCACAAUGGAGGAAACUCUGAUGCAGCGACGCCGCGUGAGUGAAGACGGUCUUCGGAUUGUAAACCUCUGUCUUUGGAGAAGAAAAUGACGGUGACUAAAGAGUAACGUCCGGCCAAUAACGAGCCAGAAGCCGCGGUAAUACGAAGGGAGCGAGCGUGGUCCGGAUUUACGGGGGGAAAAGGGAGCGGAGGCGGGCGGUAAAGCUGAAUGUUAAGUCUACCGGUUUAACUGGGAGCUGCGUUCAAAACUUCGUGUCUUGAGUGCAGUAGAGGCAGGUGGAACUCCUAGUGUAGCGGUGAAAUGCGUAGAUAUUAGGAAGAACACCAGUGGCGAAGGCGGCCUUCUGGGCUUUAACUGACGCUGAGGUUCGAAAGCGUGGGGAGCAAACAGGAUUAGAUACCCGAGUAGUC